This 497-nucleotide ribosomal RNA is filed under the name uncultured bacterium. Its description in RNAcentral is "partial 16S ribosomal RNA". It matches the Rfam family "Bacterial small subunit ribosomal RNA", at positions 28 to 507 of the family's 1533-position model. The record is from RNAcentral.
GAUGAACGCUGGCGGCGUGCCUAAUACAUGCAAGUCGAGCGAACGGACGAGAAGCUUGCUUCUCUGAUGUUAGCGGCGGACGGGUGAGUAACACGUGGAUAACCUACCUAUAAGACUGGGAUAACUUCGGGAAACCGGAGCUAAUACCGGAUAAUAUUUUGAACCGCAUGGUUCAAAAGUGAAAGACGGUCUUGCUGUCACUUAUAGAUGGAUCCGCGCUGCAUUAGCUAGUUGGUAAGGUAACGGCUUACCAAGGCAACGAUGCAUAGCCGACCUGAGGGGGUGAUCGGCCACACUGGAACUGAGCCACGGUCCAGACUCCUACGGGAGGCAGCAGUAGGGAAUCUUCCGCAAUGGGCGAAAGCCUGACGGAGCAACGCCGCGUGAGUGAUGAAGGUCUUCGGAUCGUAAAACUCUGUUAUUAGGGAAGAACAUAUGUGUAAGUAACUGUGCACAUCUUGACGGUACCUAAUCAGAAAGCCACGGCUAACUACGUG